Molecule: ribosomal RNA, 425 nt
Filed under: uncultured bacterium
Lineage: Bacteria
Description: partial 16S ribosomal RNA
Rfam family: Bacterial small subunit ribosomal RNA
Source: RNAcentral
GUGGGGAAUCUUAGACAAUGGGGGAAACCCUGAUCUAGCCAUGCCGCGUGAGCGAUGAAGGCCUUAGGGUUGUAAAGCUCUUUCAGCUGGGAAGAUAAUGACGGUACCAGCAGAAGAAGCCCCGGCUAACUCCGUGCCAGCAGCCGCGGUAAUACGGAUGGGGCUAGCGUUGUUCGGAAUUACUGGGCGUAAAGCGCGCGUAGGCGGACCAGAAAGUUGGAGGUGAAAUCCCAGGGCUCAACCUUGGAACUGCCUUCAAAACUCCUGGUCUGGAGUUCGAGAGAGGUGAGUGGAAUUCCGAGUGUAGAGGUGAAAUUCGUAGAUAUUCGGAGGAACACCAGUGGCGAAGGCGGCUCACUGGCUCGAUACUGACGCUGGGGUGCGAAAGCGUGGGGAGCAAACAGGAUUAGAAACCCUUGUAGUCC